RNAcentral lists this ribosomal RNA (460 nucleotides) under uncultured bacterium. Its description in RNAcentral is "partial 16S ribosomal RNA". It matches the Rfam family "Bacterial small subunit ribosomal RNA", at positions 338 to 795 of the family's 1533-position model. The record is from RNAcentral.
CCUACGGGAGGCAGCAGUGAGGAAUAUUGGUCAAUGGACGAGAGUCUGAACCAGCCAAGUAGCGUGAAGGAUGACUGCCCUAUGGGUUGUAAACUUCUUUUAUAAAGGAAUAAAACGAGGCACGUGUGCCUUUUUGCAUGUACUUUAUGAAUAAGGAUCGGCUAACUCCGUGCCAGCAGCCGCGGUAAUACGGAGGAUCCGAGCGGUAUCCGGAUUUAGUGGGUUUAAAGGGAGCGUAGAUGGGUUGUUAAGUCAGUUGUGAAAGUUUGCGGCUCAACCGUAAAAUUGCAAUUGUUACUGGCAGUCUUGAGUACAGGUGAGGUAGGCGGAAUUCGUGGUGUAGCGGUGAAAUGCUUAGAUAUCACGAAGAACCCCGAUUGCGAAGGCAGCUUACUAAACUGUGACUGACAUUGAUGCUCGAAAGUGUGGGUAUCAAACAGGAUUAGAUACCCUGGUAGUC